This 2105-nucleotide long non-coding RNA is filed under the name Heterocephalus glaber (naked mole-rat). RNAcentral's name for it is "lncRNA (ENSHGLG00100051522.1)". Lineage: Eukaryota; Metazoa; Chordata; Mammalia; Rodentia; Bathyergidae. The record is from RNAcentral.
CUCGCCUGGGACCUACGGGAAAGCAACUGGGUCGUGCUGAAGUAGACUUCAAGGCCUUUCUCCAUUUCCAGUGAUGGUUGAUUCUCUAAACUGCAGCUGCGGAUCUGGGAGAUUCCUCUUGGCCAACUUCUCUUCAAGCCUUACAGAUUCUUCAGAGUGAGAUCCAGGCUACAAUACAACAGGCUCGAGAAAAACCCUUUAUGACGUUCCAGCUCCACGGUUUCAAGCCAGGAGACCUGGUCCUGAUAUGCCGACAUCAGACAGCCUCGAGCUGCAUUGGAAGGGGCCAUAUCCUGUUAUUUUGGUAACCCCCCUCCGCAAAGUAGCGGGGGGGGGCACAGCUUGGAUUCAUCACACCCAGGUCAAGUCAGCUCCAGCAGAGAGCCCAGAGCCAGCACGAUGGAAGAUUCUAAGCACCCCAGGAGACUUAAAAGUUAAAAUUGGGAAAAGAGGACUAGUACUCCUGGUAUACAUUCUCUAUCAAUCAUGUCAGCUCGGGGGAACAAAUAACUUGUUUCUUCCCUGUUCAGAAACUUGGGAAUUAAGACUAACUUCUAGUGGAAAAAAUCCUGGCAAAAAUAGAGGACCCAACCAAUCUGAGAUCACCUUUACUGCUAGCUUAUGUCAUAUGGUUGAGGAGGCCUCAUAUUAUGGGAACAGGGGCUGUAUGGAAUCUGGGUGCUGUACUCUCACUAAAUGGGGACUCCAUCCUGUCCAAUAUUAUGUAUGUCCAGAAAAUGAAGACCCAUAUUGUGAUGGUAACGGCAAUGACUAUCAUUGUGCCCAAUGGGGAUGUUGGACUAUAGCUCCUUGGUCCAUUCAAAUUAUAGAUCCCUGGUUAAAAAUGUCUCCCACCACCGUAUUAUCAUGAUAAAAACCUGUGAUACUGGCAUAUGUUAUCUGAUUACCAUUACACCCCAAAGAUUGGAAGAUCCUGGGUGGGUAACUGGAAGGACAUGGGGAAUUAGAUUAUAUGUAUCUUGGGUCAGAAUUUACCAUCCAGCAAGGUUGCCAGUGGGUUGAGCGACCUAUGGGGCCCAGCAAGGACUUUGCUCUACCUAUCCCCAUAGCAAGGCCUAAGCCUGUGCCCUCACCUACUCAGAAACCAGAACCCCCCCACUCUUCCAACUAUAUUACAAGAUAAACCCCCCACCCCUGUACUGGAAAUGUUGAUGAGCAUCCAUUUACUCAACAAAUCCAGCCCUGAGGAGGCUAAAGAUUGUUGGCUCUGCCUCGACCCCAGGCCCCCAUAUGAUUUGGGGUUGGGGCUCGUGGCUAUGGCAGACUUGUCCCCAACAGGUUGUGAUUGGAGCCACCCUCAACUCACCCUGGGGGACAUCCAAGGAAAAGGAACAAAUUACAGUUUGGAUACAUCACCUUAUAGAGAUCUGUGUAAUGAUAGUUAUAAUAAUCACCCUGCCUCAGGCCCCUGUUACUACAAGGCUCCAGAAGAUGCUUGGUUUGCUUGCACCAAGGGCUUGACUAAAUGUAUUCCCAAAUCAGUCUUGGCUACCCAAUGUGCCACUUUAUUUUGUGUCACCGUGUAUGUUGUUCCACAAGUCUUGUAUUAUAAUGGAAAAGGGGGCCGCAAACAUCUGGGAUUAACCACUGAACACUAUAGAAGUAAAUGGCUGUUCCCGUUUUAGUGCCCAUUUUGGUAGGAUUAGGAAUAGCCGGGUCAGCUAUUGGAACUUCCUCCCUGAUCCUUCAGGACAAAUUUUAAAGCCCUAAGCCACCAAGCAGCCAGAGAUUUGGGUCACCUGGAAGACUCGAUCUCCAGAUUAGAGAACCAGGUUGAUUCCCUAGCUGAGAUGGUCCUGCAAAAUCGAAGGGGACUUGACCUCCUGUUCAUGAAACAGGGAGGGUUAUGUGUAGCCCUAGGAGAAACCUGUUGCUUCUAUGCUAAUCAGUCUGGUGUCAUUAGAGAUACCUUAGCUACGGUCAGAGAAAAUUUAAAGACUAAAUAUGCUCAACAAAAGGAUCAAAAUUGGUUUCAGAAUCUAUUUGACUGGUCCCCAUGGUUAACUACCCUACUUUCUGCUGUAGCAGGCCCCUUAGUUAUCUUACUUCUGCUUUUGCUUGUGGGACCUUGUAUUAUAAAUGCU